This 943-nucleotide ribosomal RNA is filed under the name uncultured bacterium. Its description in RNAcentral is "bacterial SSU rRNA". It matches the Rfam family "Bacterial small subunit ribosomal RNA", at positions 1 to 960 of the family's 1533-position model. The record is from RNAcentral.
UUUGAGUUUGAUCCUGGCUCAGGACGAACGCUGGCGGCGUGCUUAACACAUGCAAGUCGAACGAUGAAGAGGAGCUUGCUCCUUGGAUUAGUGGCGAACGGGUGAGUAACACGUGAGCAAUCUGCCCUUGACUCUGGGAUAAGCGUUGGAAACGACGUCUAAUACCGGAUACGACCCUCGGAGGCAUCUCCUGGGGGUGGAAAGAAUUUUGGUCAAGGAUGAGCUCGCGGCCUAUCAGCUUGUUGGUGAGGUAAUGGCUCACCAAGGCGACGACGGGUAGCCGGCCUGAGAGGGUGACCGGCCACACUGGGACUGAGACACGGCCCAGACUCCUACGGGAGGCAGCAGUGGGGAAUAUUGCACAAUGGGCGAAAGCCUGAUGCAGCAACGCCGCGUGAGGGACGACGGCCUUCGGGUUGUAAACCUCUUUUAGUAGGGAAGAAGCGAAAGUGACGGUACCUGCAGAAAAAGCACCGGCUAACUACGUGCCAGCAGCCGCGGUAAUACGUAGGGUGCAAGCGUUGUCCGGAAUUAUUGGGCGUAAAGAGCUCGUAGGCGGUUUGUCGCGUCUGCUGUGAAAACCCGAGGCUCAACCUCGGGCCUGCAGUGGGUACGGGCAGACUAGAGUGCGGUAGGGGAGAUUGGAAUUCCUGGUGUAGCGGUGGAAUGCGCAGAUAUCAGGAGGAACACCGAUGGCGAAGGCAGAUCUCUGGGCCGUAACUGACGCUGAGGAGCGAAAGCAUGGGGAGCGAACAGGAUUAGAUACCCUGGUAGUCCAUGCCGUAAACGUUGGGAACUAGAUGUGGGGACCAUUCCACGGUCUCCGUGUCGCAGCUAACGCAUUAAGUUCCCCGCCUGGGGAGUACGGCCGCAAGGCUAAAACUCAAAGGAAUUGACGGGGGCCCGCACAAGCGGCGGAGCAUGCGGAUUAAUUCGAUGCAAC